This 497-nucleotide ribosomal RNA is filed under the name uncultured bacterium. RNAcentral describes it as "partial 16S ribosomal RNA". It matches the Rfam family "Bacterial small subunit ribosomal RNA", at positions 28 to 507 of the family's 1533-position model. The record is from RNAcentral.
GACGAACGCUGGCGGCGUGCCUAAUACAUGCAAGUUGAGCGCUGAAGGUUGGUACUUGUACCGACUGGAUGAGCAGCGAACGGGUGAGUAACGCGUGGGGAAUCUGCCUUUGAGCGGGGGACAACAUUUGGAAACGAAUGUUAAUACCGCAUAAAAACUUUAAACACAAGUUUUAAGUUUGAAAGAUGCAAUUGCAUCACUCAAAGAUGAUCCCGCGUUGUAUUAGCUAGUUGGUGAGGUAAAGGCUCACCAAGGCGAUGAUACAUAGCCGACCUGAGAGGGUGAUCGGCCACAUUGGGACUGAGACACGGCCCAAACUCCUACGGGAGGCAGCAGUAGGGAAUCUUCGGCAAUGGACGAAAGUCUGACCGAGCAACGCCGCGUGAGUGAAGAGGGUUUUCGGAUCGUAAAACUCUGUUGGUAGAGAAGAACGUUGGUGAGAGUGGAAAGCUCAUCAAGUGACGGUAACUACCCAGAAAGGGACGGCUAACUACGUG